Non-coding RNA from Podarcis lilfordi (Lilford's wall lizard), 451 nucleotides. NCBI's taxonomy places the organism in Eukaryota, Metazoa, Chordata, Lepidosauria, Squamata, Lacertidae. The record is from the annotation of a GenBank genome assembly.
GCCGGCGGGGGUGGCGGGGAACUGUUGCUCUCAUGACUCAGCGCGCGGAGAAGGGCUGGCGUGGCUGAUGGAUGCCACCUAACGAAAGUUUCGCGGAGGAGGGGGAGCGCGGCGCGAUAGCCGACCUGGAUUUUUCCUUUGCAAGGCCGCGGGGACGCUUAGAAGAACAACGGGAGGCGCUGCCGCCUAGGCGCGCCUGCACAAAGUCCUCCGCUCGGCGUGGAAGACGCCCGGUGUUUCUGCAUCUUUCCAAAAUUCGAACAUCGCUGUACUGUUAAAAUGAAGCAGUUUAUUCCAGGAUAAUUUUAAGGGCUGGAAUAGGCAAGCACCGGCGCCUGAUGAACGAACCUGCCAUUAUUACCACCUAAGUGGAGUUUAUUUUUAUUUUUUUCCUUGGCAGAUAAGAGCAGAGGGGAAAUAUUCUCCCUGUCCUCUUUCAUUUGUAUCAGAG